Molecule: ribosomal RNA, 472 nt
Filed under: uncultured bacterium
Lineage: Bacteria
Description: partial 16S ribosomal RNA
Rfam family: Bacterial small subunit ribosomal RNA
Source: RNAcentral
UGGGGAAUUUUGGACAAUGGGCGCAAGCCUGAUCCAGCAAUGCCGCGUGCAGGAUGAAGGCCUUCGGGUUGUAAACUGCUUUUGUACGGAACGAAAAGGCUCUGGUUAAUACCUGGAGCAUAUGACGGUACCGUAAGAAUAAGCACCGGCUAACUACGUGCCAGCAGCCGCGGUAAUACGUAGGGUGCGAGCGUUAAUCGGAAUUACUGGGCGUAAAGCGUGCGCAGGCGGUUUUGUAAGACAGAGGUGAAAUCCCCGGGCUCAACCUGGGAACUGCCUUUGUGACUGCAAGGCUGGAGUGCGGCAGAGGGGGAUGGAAUUCCGCGUGUAGCAGUGAAAUGCGUAGAUAUGCGGAGGAACACCGAUGGCGAAGGCAAUCCCCUGGGCCUGCACUGACGCUCAUGCACGAAAGCGUGGGGAGCAAACAGGAUUAGAUACCCUGGUAGUCCACGCCCUAAACGAUGUCAACUGG